GCAGAGCCGUGGCCCUCUUCUUUGUUCUCUGCUGGAUCCAAGAGUCGGAGUCUCCCUAUGUUUCCCAGGCUGGUCUCGAACUCCUGACCUCAAGUGAUCCUCCCACCUCAGCCUCCCAGAGCGCUGGGAUUGAAGACGUGAGCCACCGCACCUGGCCUGAAUUUUCCUCAGAUUCAAAAAAUCCUGAUGAAGGUUUGGCUAAAAUCUUUGGCUAUUCCCAACAAAAGAGCUUGAACAGUGCUGCAUUUGCAUCAGGUUCAAAUGAGCGAGAGGAACAUUUGGCUAAAAUAUUUGAUGAAAUUCUACUGCAGGUGUUUCCAAAGGUUCCGUAUCAUCCAUCAUUUAACGAAACAACAGCAGUCAGAUCCAUUACAAAGACAGACAUGAGAAAAGGAACCAGUGUUGUUUGGAAAUCUCCUAAACCAGAAUAUUUCCUUGGCAGUGUGGACAAAAUUCCCGAUAAAGAUCACCUUUCAGAGGAGAAGAGUUUUAAAGAAUCCUCUCUGUUCGACAGGGUUUUAAGAGAGCAGUUAACUACUGUAGAUAAAGAAACACUUCAAGGGGCAGCUAAACCAGAUCUCCUCCGGCAAACACGACAUAUAAUAUUUUUAUAAUGAAUGGAAAGACAUGGUGGCAAAAUUCUGAAGAAAAAAAUUUCACAAAAUGUGCAAAAAAACAGAAACAGUUGAAGAGCAGCUCCGGCGUCUAAGCCAGGUCGUGGGG
Molecule: small RNA, 723 nt
Filed under: Pongo abelii (Sumatran orangutan)
Lineage: Eukaryota; Metazoa; Chordata; Mammalia; Primates; Hominidae
Description: processed transcript
Source: RNAcentral